This 253-nucleotide ribosomal RNA is filed under the name uncultured bacterium. RNAcentral's name for it is "partial 16S ribosomal RNA". It matches the Rfam family "Bacterial small subunit ribosomal RNA", at positions 524 to 776 of the family's 1533-position model. The record is from RNAcentral.
UACGGAGGGGGCUAGCGUUGUUCGGAAUUACUGGGCGUAAAGCGCACGUAGGCGGCUUUGUAAGUUAGAGGUGAAAGCCCGGGGCUCAACCCCGGAAUUGCCUUUAAGACUGCAUCGCUUGAACGUCGGAGAGGUGAGUGGAAUUCCGAGUGUAGAGGUGAAAUUCGUAGAUAUUCGGAAGAACACCAGUGGCGAAGGCGGCUCACUGGUCCAUUACUGACGCUGAGGUGCGAAAGCGUGGGGAGCAAACAGG